This 253-nucleotide ribosomal RNA is filed under the name uncultured bacterium. Its description in RNAcentral is "partial 16S ribosomal RNA". It matches the Rfam family "Bacterial small subunit ribosomal RNA", at positions 524 to 776 of the family's 1533-position model. The record is from RNAcentral.
UACGUAGGUGGCAAGCGUUGUCCGGAUUUACUGGGCGUAAAGAGCGCGCAGGCGGUCGUGCAAGUCGCGUGUGAAAGCCCCCGGCUCAACUGGGGAGGGUCACGCGAUACUGCUCGACUUGAAGGCAGGAGAGGGAAGUGGAAUUCCCGGUGUAGUGGUGAAAUGCGUAGAUAUCGGGAGGAACGCCAGUGGCGAAGGCGACUUCCUGGCCUGUUCUUGACGCUGAGGCGCGAAAGCUAGGGUAGCAAACGGG